UGGCGAGAUAGCUCAGUUGGCUAGAGCACAUGGUUCAUACCCAUGGUGUCGAGGGUUCGACUCCCCCUCUCGCUAU
Molecule: transfer RNA, 76 nt
Filed under: Roseburia inulinivorans
Lineage: Bacteria; Bacillati; Bacillota; Clostridia; Lachnospirales; Lachnospiraceae
Description: tRNA-Met(cat)
Rfam family: tRNA
About the family: Transfer RNA (tRNA) molecules are approximately 80 nucleotides in length. Their secondary structure includes four short double-helical elements and three loops (D, anti-codon, and T loops).
Source: RNAcentral